RNAcentral lists this non-coding RNA (31 nucleotides) under Homo sapiens (human). Lineage: Eukaryota; Metazoa; Chordata; Mammalia; Primates; Hominidae. The record is from RNAcentral.
UCUGUCCCAUAGAUGUAAAGCCAGGUGAAGG